Molecule: ribosomal RNA, 253 nt
Filed under: uncultured bacterium
Lineage: Bacteria
Description: partial 16S ribosomal RNA
Rfam family: Bacterial small subunit ribosomal RNA
Source: RNAcentral
UACAGAGGUCCCAAGCGUUGUUCGGAUUCAUUGGGCGUAAAGGGUGCGUAGGCGGCCCGGUAAGUCCGUUGUGAAAGUCAAAGGCUCAACCUUUGAACGCCGAUGGAUACUGCCGGGCUAGAGUCCGGAAGAGGCGAGUGGAAUUCCUGGUGUAGCGGUGGAAUGCGCAGAUAUCAGGAGGAACACCAAUAGCGAAGGCAGCUCGCUGGGACGGUACUGACGCUGAGGCGCGAAAGCGUGGGGAGCGAACAGG